This 728-nucleotide ribosomal RNA is filed under the name uncultured bacterium. RNAcentral describes it as "bacterial SSU rRNA". It matches the Rfam family "Bacterial small subunit ribosomal RNA", at positions 28 to 800 of the family's 1533-position model. The record is from RNAcentral.
AGCGAACGCUGGCGGCAGGCUUAACACAUGCAAGUCGAGCGGGCGUAGCAAUACGUCAGCGGCAGACGGGUGAGUAACGCGUGGGAACGUACCUUUUGGUUCGGAACAACACAGGGAAACUUGUGCUAAUACCGAAUAAGCCCUUACGGGGAAAGAUUUAUCGCCGAAAGAUCGGCCCGCGUCUGAUUAGCUAGUUGGUGAGGUAACGGCUCACCAAGGCGACGAUCAGUAGCUGGUCUGAGAGGAUGAUCAGCCACAUUGGGACUGAGACACGGCCCAAACUCCUACGGGAGGCAGCAGUGGGGAAUAUUGGACAAUGGGCGCAAGCCUGAUCCAGCCAUGCCGCGUGAGUGAUGAAGGCCCUAGGGUUGUAAAGCUCUUUUGUGCGGGAAGAUAAUGACGGUACCGCAAGAAUAAGCCCCGGCUAACUUCGUGCCAGCAGCCGCGGUAAUACGAAGGGGGCUAGCGUUGCUCGGGAUCACUGGGCGUAAAGGGUGCGUAGGCGGGUCUUUAAGUCAGGGGUGAAAUCCUGGAGCUCAACUCCAGAACUGCCUUUGAUACUGAGGAUCUUGAGUUCGGGAGAGGUGAGUGGAACUGCGAGUGUAGAGGUGAAAUUCGUAGAUAUUCGCAAGAACACCAGUGGCGAAGGCGGCUCACUGGCCCGAUACUGACGCUGAGGCACGAAAGCGUGGGGAGCAAACAGGAUUAGAUACCCUGGUAGUCCACGC